GGAUGUGUAGCUCAGUGGUAGAGUGCUUACCUAGUGUGUGUGAAGCCCCUAAGUUCAAUUCCCAGCACCCCCA
Molecule: transfer RNA, 73 nt
Filed under: Ictidomys tridecemlineatus (thirteen-lined ground squirrel)
Lineage: Eukaryota; Metazoa; Chordata; Mammalia; Rodentia; Sciuridae
Description: Spermophilus tridecemlineatus (thirteen-lined ground squirrel) tRNA
Rfam family: tRNA
About the family: Transfer RNA (tRNA) molecules are approximately 80 nucleotides in length. Their secondary structure includes four short double-helical elements and three loops (D, anti-codon, and T loops).
Source: Rfam by way of RNAcentral